RNAcentral lists this ribosomal RNA (1836 nucleotides) under Triticum aestivum (bread wheat). Its description in RNAcentral is "partial small subunit ribosomal RNA". Lineage: Eukaryota; Viridiplantae; Streptophyta; Magnoliopsida; Poales; Poaceae. The record is from RNAcentral.
UACCCGACCGGCCAAUCCUCCCGAGGAUUGUUCACGGUUACCGCAGUCGACCUCUGGCCGCCGCCGCUCAUGUGCGUCCUGCCGUGCUGCCUGGAGACGCCGUUGGGCCAGUAGGCUAGGUUGGCUCCUCCGACCUUUCGGACGAGGAAGCAAGAACACAUGCUCCACAAGCUCGCCUACCGCGUGAUACCGUAGCGCAGGUUGGACCACGACAUGGACUGCUCCCUCGACGUGCUCCCGUGCCACGCGAGGCGGUUGUUGCAGUGGUUGACCCGGCCGUGGUCGGAGUAGUGCGGGCAGGAGCCGCGGAUGUAGCGGCUGCGGGUGGAGCCUGCGAUGGCGUGGAAGUACCGGCGGAGGCGGUAGAUGGAAGAGCCUUACACGGACGACUGGUACCGGCACAGCGACGGCAGCGACUUCGGCGGCCGCACGCCGUGGCCGUGCCGCCUGGGCUCGACGCUCGCGUUCCGCAGCUCGGACGUCGACCCGCACAAGAAAGACCGGGACAUGUGGGAGCGGCAGCCGUGUCCGCCGUGGUUCGGGUUGUAGAGGUGGUAGCCGCGGCUGGUCAAGCUGUUCGUGCUCGGCGCCCUCGCGGCCGUCUUCGAGAGGAAGAAGUUGACCACCUACAAGUCGUAGAAGGAUCCGUGCGAGAAGCGGUUGUGGCAGGAGCAGAUGUAGGUCCUGUUCUAGCCGACCUGGCAGCCGAUGCGCGAGGGGUGGUAGCCGGAGCGGCAGAGGUAGCGGCACAAGUGGCGGCCUUGCGGGGACAUGGCGGUGUUCGGCUGGAGUGGGCUCUCGAGGGAGCGGUUCUACCGGCCCCAGUAGCAGCGGCGGCAGGCGUUCACGGCGCAGGGCCGCGGGCGCCUGGGCGCGCUGGACGUGCUCGAGCUGGGGCUCGUGAUGCUGUCCUUUUUCUGCAGGAGCGACGGGGUGUGCGGCUUAAAGUCACACGACUCGUUUCGCCGCCACUCCUGGCCCUGGCCCUCGUGCAGCGCCACCAGCGACUCGUGCCACUGCGUCCACUUCCUCUGCUUCGUCUACGAGUUCUACGAAGGGCACGACAAGUAGUGCAAGCACGGCUCGCGCUACGACCGGGUCUAGUUGUGCGACAAGCACUUCGUCCCGUGCUGCGACCUCGCCGCGCAGCCGCCGAAGCUGUAGGGCGGCCGCUCGGACGUCCCCAAGCACUGGCAGAGGUACGAGCAGAGGCAGCACGAGAUGCUGGCGGAGAAGCACGGGACGUGCGCCGCGGACUGUUUCUUGGGCGCCCCGUAGAGCGACGAGGUCGCCUACCCGCAGCCCGAGCAGGAGGUGUAGCGCUAGUACCACCAGCGCAGCCGCUGACUCGCCGCGGCGGACCGGCACCGCGCGCUCUUGCCGCACGAGCUGUCGUCCCCGUGCUACCAGGGCGAGAGGUAGAAGCACGACGAGGGCGUCAAGCACAAGUACCCGCAGCGGCUGCGGAAGGACCUCCACCGGUUCUAGCUCAAGAAGAUGCUGGUCCGCGGGCUCCCCUACUUCUCGGAGCCGUGCAGGAUGCGGUACUAGUCGGAGCCGCAGCCGUUGAAGGAGUCGUCGAAGGACGACAGCUGCCACAGCGCGCAGUGCGCCGCCGCGCCUCCUCCUGUACCUCCGACCUAGGUCUUGUUGGAGUUGCGGAGCGCCGACCUGGAGAUGAUGCGGAAGAAGCGGCACGAGUUGACGCGGUUGGAGGAGCAGAAGAAGCGGCACACGGCCUACAUGCACAUAUUGCGCCUGUAGCGACUGCCACCGUUCCUCUUCGUCCCCUCCGGUCCUUACCACUUCCUCGGUUGGCAUGGUCGAUGUCUCAUC